Nothobranchius furzeri (turquoise killifish) is the source of this 678-nucleotide non-coding RNA. Lineage: Eukaryota; Metazoa; Chordata; Actinopteri; Cyprinodontiformes; Nothobranchiidae. The record is from RefSeq and is a predicted model, not a curated record.
CAGAUUUGGCCUGGUGAUAUUCGGAGGGAUAGAUGGGUACUCAAGAAAGAUCAUGUACCUGGGUGCUGCUGCUAACAACAGAGCAACAACUGCACUUGCUUUCUUCUUGGAGGCUGUACAAAUGUAUGGCUUUCCCUUGAGGUAAAAUCUACACAAAAUGAAUUUUCACAAUGACUGUACUAAUCUGUAAAUAUGAUUUAUUUCCCUUGAUUAGCAGUGUAAUUAUUUUGGCAUGCAAUGCGUAAACUAUACAUGAUCAAUUGUUUAAAAAUCUCCAUACUCUUGUUUAAAUGGUUCAAACAUUUAAAAUUCUUGAAAGGUGUGUUUCAUACAGAGCUGCACACUGUUGAAUAACCAAAACAAUAAACUUCUAAUAACCAGUCUAAAGUAAAAUUAUAUUUAAAACACAAAGGCUGCAAUAAAUUUUAAGAGUGACAUAUUUUUUUUAGAUUUAAAAAAAUUGUACUGUCAAUGUUUCAUUUUGUUUUAGAGUUCGAGGGGAUCAAGGGGUGGAAAAUGUUGGAAUAGCAAGAUGCAUGUUCACUAUCCGGGGCUGUGGAAGAGGAAGUUUUCUGUCAGGCAAGAGUGUUCACAACCAAAGAAUAGAGCGCUUGUGGCGAGAUGUGUGGAUGGCUGUUUCAAGCGUGCACUUUGAAACCCUUCACAACCUCAACAAUG